UGGGGAAUAUUGGACAAUGGGCGAAAGCCUGAUCCAGCGACGCCGCGUGUGUGAAGAAGGCCUGCGGGUUGUAAAGCACUUUCGAUGGGAACGAAAUGUGUCGGGCUAAUACCCCGGCAAGCUGACGUUACUCAAUGAAGAAGCACCGGCUAACUCUGUGCCAGCAGCCGCGGUAAUACAGAGGGUGCAAACGUUGCUCGGAAUUACUGGGCGUAAAGCGCGUGUAGGCGGUUCGUUAAGUCGUCUGUGAAAGCCCAUGGCUCAACCAUGGAAGUGCAGCCGAUACUGGCAAACUUGAGUUCUGGAGAGGGUGGCGGAAUUCCCAGUGUAGAGGUGAAAUUCGUAGAUAUUGGGAGGAACACCGGUGCGAAGGCGGCCACCUGGACAGAUACUGACGCUGAGACGCGAAAGCGCGGGUAGCAAACAGGAUUAGAUACCCAGGUAGUCCCUGAGCGGGCUGGCAAGGCGCAU
RNAcentral lists this ribosomal RNA (471 nucleotides) under uncultured bacterium. RNAcentral's name for it is "bacterial SSU rRNA". It matches the Rfam family "Bacterial small subunit ribosomal RNA", at positions 355 to 825 of the family's 1533-position model. The record is from RNAcentral.